RNAcentral lists this ribosomal RNA (445 nucleotides) under uncultured bacterium. RNAcentral's name for it is "bacterial SSU rRNA". It matches the Rfam family "Bacterial small subunit ribosomal RNA", at positions 335 to 797 of the family's 1533-position model. The record is from RNAcentral.
ACUCCUACGGGAGGCAGCAGUGGGGAAUAUUGCACAAUGGGCGAAAGCCUGAUGCAGCCAUGCCGCGUGAGUGAUGAAGGCCUUAGGGUUGUAAAACUCUUUCAUCGGUGAAGAUAAUGACGGUAGCCGAAGAAGAAGCCCCGGCUAACUCCGUGCCAGCAGCCGCGGUAAUACGGAGGGGGCAAGCGUUGUUCGGAAUUACUGGGCGUAAAGCGCACGUAGGCGGACUGGUCAGUUGGGGGUGAAAUCCCGAGGCUUAACCUCGGAACUGCCUUCAAUACUGCCAGUCUUGAGAUCGGAAGAGGUGAGUGGAAUUCCUAGUGUAGAGGUGAAAUUCAUAGAUAUUAGGAAGAACACCAGUGGCGAAGGCGGCUCACUGGUCCGAUACUGACGCUGAGGUGCGAAAGCGUGGGGAGCGAACAGGAUUAGAUACCCUGGUAGCGAG